Callorhinchus milii (elephant shark) is the source of this 75-nucleotide small nucleolar RNA. NCBI's taxonomy places the organism in Eukaryota, Metazoa, Chordata, Chondrichthyes, Chimaeriformes, Callorhinchidae. The record is from Ensembl.
GAUGUCUGUGAUGAAUUUCUGUGAUCCGAGAUUUCUCAAUGAGAAUACCUCACAUGCACUACCAUCUGAGACGUA